AUUGAACGCUGGCGGCAGGCUUAACACAUGCAAGUCGAGCGGGGGAAGGUAGCUUGCUACCGGACCUAGCGGCGGACGGGUGAGUAAUGCUUAGGAAUCUGCCUAUUAGUGGGGGACAACAUCUCGAAAGGGAUGCUAAUACCGCAUACGUCCUACGGGAGAAAGCAGGGGAUCUUCGGACCUUGCGCUAAUAGAUGAGCCUAAGUCGGAUUAGCUAGUUGGUGGGGUAAAGGCCUACCAAGGCGACGAUCUGUAGCGGGUCUGAGAGGAUGAUCAGCCACAAUGGGACUGGGACACGGCCCAGACUUCUACGGGAGGGAGCAGUGGGGAAUAUUGGACAAUAGGGGAAAAGCUGGUCCAGGCAUGCCGGGGGGGGGAAGAAGGCCCUACGGUUGGAAAGGACCUUAAGCGAGGAGGAGGCUACUUUAGUUAAUACCUAGAGAUAGUGGACGUUACUAGCAGAAUAAGCACCGGCUAACUCUGUG
RNAcentral lists this ribosomal RNA (485 nucleotides) under uncultured bacterium. Its description in RNAcentral is "partial 16S ribosomal RNA". It matches the Rfam family "Bacterial small subunit ribosomal RNA", at positions 29 to 507 of the family's 1533-position model. The record is from RNAcentral.